Molecule: microRNA precursor, 140 nt
Filed under: Loxodonta africana (African savanna elephant)
Lineage: Eukaryota; Metazoa; Chordata; Mammalia; Proboscidea; Elephantidae
Description: miRNA (ENSLAFG00000031255.1)
Source: RNAcentral
UUUUCAAAUUUUACUAUAUACCGUCUGGGAAGCUGGUUAAAAUGAGGAUUUGGGGAGCUUCCCAUUUAGAUUCAGUAGAUGUGAGGUGGGGCCCAGGAAUCUGCAUUUUAACCAAGACUUUAGCUGAUUUGGAUAUGGGA